Molecule: ribosomal RNA, 492 nt
Filed under: uncultured bacterium
Lineage: Bacteria
Description: partial 16S ribosomal RNA
Rfam family: Bacterial small subunit ribosomal RNA
Source: RNAcentral
GAUGAACGCUAGCGGGAGGCUUAACACAUGCAAGUCGAGGGGUAGGGAAGCAAUUCCUGAGACCGGCGGACGGGUGCGUAACGCGUAUGCAACCUGCCUUAUACAGGGGGAUAGCCCAUGGAAACGUGGAUUAACACCCCAUAGGAUUACGGGAUGGCAUGCUUGUGUGAUUAAAACUGAGGUGGGAUAAGAUGGGCAUGCGUCUGAUUAGGUAGUUGGUAGGGUAAUGGCCUACCAAGCCGACGAUCAGUAGGGGUUCUGGGAGGAUUACCCCCCACACUGGUACUGAGACACGGACCAGACUCCUACGGGAGGCAGCAGUGAGGAAUAUUGGUCAAUGGCCGGAAGGCUGAACCAGCCAUCCCGCGUGCAGGAUGACGGCCCUAUGGGUUGUAAACUGCUUUUGUACCUGAAGAAUAGGCCCAACGAGUUGGGAUUUGCCGGUAAGGUAUGAAUAAGCAUCGGCUAACUCCGUGCCAGCAGCCGCGGUAA